This 1785-nucleotide long non-coding RNA is filed under the name Equus caballus (horse). RNAcentral describes it as "lncRNA (ENSECAG00000040797.2)". Lineage: Eukaryota; Metazoa; Chordata; Mammalia; Perissodactyla; Equidae. The record is from RNAcentral.
UCUACCUCUCUCUGCCUCUCUGUCUAUGUCUCUGUCUCUCUCUCCUUUUCUCUCCUUGCUGCAAUGAGAAGACACAGCAAGAAGACUUCUGUCUGCAAGCAAGGAAGAAGGCUCUCACCAGGAACCGAAUUGGUUAACACCUAAUUAUCUUGGACUUCCCAGCCUUUAGAACUAAAGACAACUGAAUAAAUUUGGUAGCAGAAUAGGAAGGAACAAAUACAUGAGCGUACUCGGAAUGAGAGAAGACAGCAGCAGUAAUGAAAUUUUUAGCAGCACAUGCCCACACCGUGGCCCCUUCCUGAUUCCUGUAAUGUACAUGUGGAAUCGACUGUGUAGAAGAGAAACUUCAGAGAUGCAUUGGUGUCAAUCAGGCACAUCCCUGGACCAGACUAUAUAUCCAAUUAAAGAUGUAUUGAGGACUAUCUCUCACACAUAUUGCCUGGCUAUGGGCCCUACCUUUGAGGAUGUGAUGUCUUUGGUGCCACAGACAUGCAUAAUCAGUGGACACAGAGAAAGCAUGAGUGAUUCAAAUGGACAUGGAAACAAGAACUGGAAAUUGGACGUCUGGUAUUCUCAUGGAUGGCUUGCAGGACUUCCUUAUGGGAUUUGGGUACGAAGGUCCCCCUCCACCGUCACCCAAGCUUUAUCGCCUCUGUCCUAGAUUAUUGCUUCUAGCAUUGAAGGGACAGUGAUAUGUAAAAUAUCCAGGACAAAGGAAACGGAAGAUACAGGUGAAAGUGAGUGAGGAAGCAGAGAAGGCAGAUCUUAGAAGCAGGGCCGACCACUACCACCAGCCCAACUGGAUAUACUGUCGAGAUUUAAAUAUGGCAGCUACAUAAUUAUGACUACUACAGUUUUUCUCCAUACUUCAGAAUGCAUUGAAGCCUCUUUCAUAUUAGGAAAUGUCAUCACAAAUCUUGUACAAAACUGAUUACAUUACGUGAAUGAAAAUAACUAUGAUAAGGUGAAUUAAACAAUUUAAAUAUUAGAAAUGAUCAUGUAGUCCCGAAGCAGUGUGAAGAGAAUGUCGGAAGAUUACUGAGAAGUGCAAGGUUGGGAGGAGACACACUAAUCUUCCUACAAGUAAGACUUCUAGUCAUGAAAACCCUGUUGGAACAUCUGAAACGCUUUAUGUACAAGGACCUGUCUUAGAGGAAGAAGCUGAUGAGGAACUUCUCAGUUUUUCUGGGCUCACCAGGUCUCCUCAGGUUCAAUGACCUUACCGACCAGUCAAGGGUCCUUAGAUCUCAUCCAAGUCAUCUGGCUGGUAUUUCCUUAGGGAAAAGAGGGGCUGAAGAUGCUGUACAAAGCUUAAUUUCUGCACCUCGUCCUUAAAUGCAGCACUGACUCCCCUGAGCUGGAGGUGGGCAAAAGACCCAAGUCAAACCUGUUACAUCACACACCCACCUAGUAGCCAGAGUGAAGGAUCCAAGAAGGCAUAAGACACAGUAGAGCCCAUCAGAGACCAUCCUGGGAAGCUGUUUUUUAACUAGAGACAAUACAAAUGUUAUUUUUUAGUAGACCUUUACUAAAAGAUGCUUUUAGUCAAAAAUAACAUCACAGGGCAAGUCUGUUUGAGAGAAUGAUGCUGCCACACAGCCAGAAAAGAAGGAAGGCAUCUCUGCUUUCAGUUUCAGAAUUUUCCAGAACUGUAACCAAAGCAUAGCUAUUUAGUUGUUUCUUCGAUUUUGGUGAGCUGUGCAGGAAUCAUUUCAAUAAAUUCCCCUUUUUGUUUAAUCUUGUUUGAAAAGUUUUCUUUUUCAUUUGUGUCCCAAAGUAUCCUGG